RNAcentral lists this ribosomal RNA (500 nucleotides) under uncultured bacterium. RNAcentral describes it as "partial 16S ribosomal RNA". It matches the Rfam family "Bacterial small subunit ribosomal RNA", at positions 30 to 523 of the family's 1533-position model. The record is from RNAcentral.
AUUGAACGCUGGCGGCAUGCCUUACACAUGCAAGUCGAACGGCAGCACGGGAGCAAUCCUGGUGGCGAGUGGCGAACGGGUGAGUAAAGUAUCGGAACGUGCCCAGUCGUGGGGGAUAACGUAGCGAAAGUUACGCCAAUACCGCAUACGAUCUAUGGAUGAAAGCGGGGGAUCGCAAGACCUCGCGCGAUUGGAGCGGGCGAUAUCAGAUUAGGUAGUUGGUGGGGUAAAGGCUCACCAAGCCGACGAUCUGUAGCUGGUCUGAGAGGACGACCAGCCACACUGGGACUGAGACACGGCCCAGACUCCUACGGGAGGCAGCAGUGGGGAAUUUUGGACAAUGGGCGAAAGCCUGAUCCAGCCAUGCCGCGUGCAGGAUGAAGGCCUUCGGGUUGUAAACUGCUUUUGUACGGAACGAAAAGGUUUGGCCUAAUAAGCUGAGCUCAUGGCGGUACCGUAAGAAUAAGCACCGGCUAACUACGUGCCAGCAGCCGCCGUAA